GAUGAAGAACGCAGCGAAAUGCGAUAACUAAUGUGAAUUGCAGAAUUCCGUGAAUCAUCGAGUCUUUGAACGCACAUUGCGCCCCCUGGUAUUCCGGGGGGCAUGCCUGUCCGAGCGUCAUUGCUGCCCAUCAAGCACGGCUUGUGUGUUGGGUCCUCGUCCCCCCCGGGGGACGUGCCCGAAAGGCAGCGGCGGCACCGCGUCCGGUCCUCGAGCGUAUGGGGCUUUGUCACCCGCUCUGCAGGCCCGGCCGGCGCUGGCCGACGCGAAAGCAACCAUUUUUUCUCCAGGUUGACCUCGGAUCAGGUAGGGAUACCCGCUGAACUUAAGCAUAUUAAUAAGCGGAGGA
RNAcentral lists this unclassified non-coding RNA (349 nucleotides) under soil metagenome. RNAcentral describes it as "partial contains 5.8S ribosomal RNA, internal transcribed spacer 2, and large subunit ribosomal RNA". The stretch from base 1 to 120 matches the Rfam family "5.8S ribosomal RNA", at positions 35 to 154 of the family's 154-position model. The record is from RNAcentral.